This is a long non-coding RNA of Brassica napus (rape), 846 nucleotides long. RefSeq lists it as uncharacterized. Lineage: Eukaryota; Viridiplantae; Streptophyta; Magnoliopsida; Brassicales; Brassicaceae. The record is from RefSeq and is a predicted model, not a curated record. The transcript has 2 exons.
AUUAUUAAAUUUUAACCUUAGACUUUAUAUUCAAAUGGUUGAUAACAAAUGGUAAGGAUUGUGUCAGAUUUAAUAACAGUCAUUGAUUAAAUUUUAAUCUAACGGUGGAGAAUCAAUCUCAACCUCUCUCUUUUGUCCUUUAUGUGCACCGAGAGACGAUCCAAAAACUUGUUUUCUUCACACUUUUUUCAGAUUUAGAUCUCUAUCUUCUCAUCACACGUUUCUCUUUUCUUCUUUCUCUUCUCUACAUUUCUUCUCUGUCUACUGAUUUGUUUAUUUUUUUUCUCUGUUUUAUUUAAUGAAUCUCGUCUUCUUUCUAUCUCAUCUUCUUCUUUGUCUCUGCUGAAGCUUGCCGUGUGCCGUACUCAUUGUCACCACUCUAGUUCAUCACCUCUCUUUUCAGAAUUCAAGAUUAAAAGGUGUGGAGGAAGAAGUAAAGCUCGACGGUGGUGGGAUUUGAGAUAACCGGGGCUGGAUGGUGGAUGCAACGAUGGCCACGUGGGAAGAACCCUAAAAAUGGAGCGAAGCGCGUUAGAGAUGCUGGAGACUGGGCCGUCCAAGAAUAAAACCCAUAUAAACCGAAGCCCACCUAGACGUAAUGAAACGUGGCGUUUUAAAAUGGUGAGACACGUGUCGCAAGCACAGAAUUCGACUUUCUGAUGUGGAAUCCUAUGUGGCAUCACCAGGAGGGAGGCAAACAUUUUUUUAUAUAUAUAGAUUUUUCUUUCAUUUUCCUGUACACUAUUUUUAACAAUCAAUAUAAGCUUGCAAUCUUGCAUUCUUAUAAGAUGCUGAAUCUUGUUUUCAUUUUAUGAAGUGGUAGACAGAAAGAAACGUUCUCUCAAA